GAUGAACGCUGGCGGCGUGCCUAAUACAUGCAAGUCGAGCGAACAGACGAGGAGCUUGCUCCUCUGACGUUAGCGGCGGACGGGUGAGUAACACGUGGAUAACCUACCUAUAAGACUGGGAUAACUUCGGGAAACCGGCGCUAAUACCGGAUAAUAUCUUGAACCGCAUGGUUCAAUAGUGAAAGACGGUUUUGCUGUCACUUAUAGAUGGAUCCGCGCCGCAUUAGCUAGUUGGUAAGGUAACGGCUUACCAAGGCAACGAUGCGUAGCCGACCUGAGAGGGUGAUCGGACACACUAGAACUGAGACACGGUCCAGGCUCCUACGGGAGGCAGCAGUAGGGAAUCUUCCGCAAUGGGCGAAAGCCUGACGGAGCAACGCCGCGUGAGUGAUGAAGGUCUGCGGAUCGUAAAACUCUGUUAUUAGGGAAGAACAAAUGUGUAAGUAACUAUGCACGUCUUGACGGUACCUAAUCAGAAAGCCACGGCUAACUACGUG
Molecule: ribosomal RNA, 497 nt
Filed under: uncultured bacterium
Lineage: Bacteria
Description: partial 16S ribosomal RNA
Rfam family: Bacterial small subunit ribosomal RNA
Source: RNAcentral